This 727-nucleotide ribosomal RNA is filed under the name Marinobacterium sp. PY97E. Its description in RNAcentral is "bacterial SSU rRNA". It matches the Rfam family "Bacterial small subunit ribosomal RNA", at positions 385 to 1104 of the family's 1533-position model. The record is from RNAcentral. Lineage: Bacteria; Pseudomonadati; Pseudomonadota; Gammaproteobacteria; Oceanospirillales; Oceanospirillaceae.
GAUCCAGCCAUGCCGCGUGUGUGAAGAAGGCCUUCGGGUUGUAAAGCACUUUCAGUGGUGAGGAAAGGUGUGUGGUUAAUACCCGCAUACUGUGACGUUAGCCACAGAAGAAGCACCGGCUAACUCCGUGCCAGCAGCCGCGGUAAUACGGAGGGUGCGAGCGUUAAUCGGAAUAACUGGGCGUAAAGCGCGCGUAGGUGGUUGAGUCAGUCAGAUGUGAAAGCCCCGGGCUUAACCUGGGAACUGCACCUGAUACUGCUUGACUAGAGUACGGUAGAGGGCAGUGGAAUUUCCUGUGUAGCGGUGAAAUGCGUANAUAUAGGAAGGAACACCAGUGGCGAAGGCGACUGCCUGGACUGAUACUGACACUGAGGUGCGAAAGCGUGGGUAGCAAACAGGAUUANAUACCCUGGUAGUCCACGCCGUAAACGAUGUCGACUAGCUGUUGGGAGACUUGAUCUUUUAGUAGCGAAGUUAACGCGAUAAGUCGACCGCCUGGGGAGUACGGCCGCAAGGUUAAAACUCAAAUGAAUUGACGGGGGCCCGCACAAGCGGUGGAGCAUGUGGUUUAAUUCGAAGCAACGCGAAGAACCUUACCUACUCUUGACAUCCAGAGAACUUGGCAGAGAUGCCUUGGUGCCUUCGGGAACUCUGAGACAGGUGCUGCAUGGCUGUCGUCAGCUCGUGUUGUGAAAUGUUGGGUUAAGUCCCGUAACGAGCGCAACCC